UAAUAAGUGUUUUAUGGCACUUUUUAAAUCCAUAUCCACCUUGUGUGCAAUGUCGGUCGAUCUUCUUCAUGGAGAUCGACCAAACAUCAACCUUUAUCUUUUAACUCUUUGUCUGAAAAAUAUUACGAAUAAACAAUUCAAAAUA
RNAcentral lists this unclassified non-coding RNA (145 nucleotides) under soil metagenome. RNAcentral describes it as "partial internal transcribed spacer 1". The record is from RNAcentral.